Molecule: ribosomal RNA, 500 nt
Filed under: Vibrio harveyi
Lineage: Bacteria; Pseudomonadati; Pseudomonadota; Gammaproteobacteria; Vibrionales; Vibrionaceae
Description: bacterial SSU rRNA
Rfam family: Bacterial small subunit ribosomal RNA
Source: RNAcentral
GGGUGAGUAAUGCCUAGGAAAUUGCCCUGAUGUGGGGGAUAACCAUUGGAAACGAUGGCUAAUACCGCAUAAUACCUUCGGGUCAAAGAGGGGGACCUUCGGGCCUCUCGCGUCAGGAUAUGCCUAGGUGGGAUUAGCUAGUUGGUGAGGUAAUGGCUCACCAAGGCGACGAUCCCUAGCUGGUCUGAGAGGAUGAUCAGCCACACUGGAACUGAGACACGGUCCAGACUCCUACGGGAGGCAGCAGUGGGGAAUAUUGCACAAUGGGCGCAAGCCUGAUGCAGCCAUGCCGCGUGUGUGAAGAAGGCCUUCGGGUUGUAAAGCACUUUCAGUCGUGAGGAAGGUAGUGUAGUUAAUAGCUGCAUUAUUUGACGUUAGCGACAGAAGAAGCACCGGCUAACUCCGUGCCAGCAGCCGCGGUAAUACGGAGGGUGCGAGCGUUAAUCGGAAUUACUGGGCGUAAAGCGCAUGCAGGUGGUUUGUUAAGUCAGAUGUGAAAG